GUGAGGUAAUGGCUCACCAAGGCGACGACGGGUAGCCGGCCUGAGAGGGUGACCGGCCACACUGGGACUGAGACACGGCCCAGACUCCUACGGGAGGCAGCAGUGGGGAAUAUUGCACAAUGGGCGCAAGCCUGAUGCAGCGACGCCGCGUGAGGGAUGACGGCCUUCGGGUUGUAAACCUCUUUCAGUAGGGAAGAAGCGAAAGUGACGGUACCUGCAGAAGAAGCGCCGGCUAACUACGUGCCAGCAGCCGCGGUAAUACGUAGGGCGCAAGCGUUAUCCGGAAUUAUUGGGCGUAAAGAGCUCGUAGGCGGUUUGUCGCGUCUGCCGUGAAAGUCCGGGGCUCAACUCCGGAUCUGCGGUGGGUACGGGCAGACUAGAGUGAUGUAGGGGAGACUGGAAUUCCUGGUGUAGCGGUGAAAUGCGCAGAUAUCAGGAGGAACACCGAUGGCGAAGGCAGGUCUCUGGGCAUUAACUGACGCUGAGGAGCGAAAGCAUGGGGAGCGAACAGGAUUAGAUACCCUGGUAGUCCAUGCCGUAAACGUUGGGCACUAGGUGUGGGGGACAUUCCACGUUUUCCGCGCCGUAGCUAACGCAUUAAGUG
Molecule: ribosomal RNA, 604 nt
Filed under: uncultured Actinomycetes bacterium
Lineage: Bacteria; Bacillati; Actinomycetota; Actinomycetes
Description: bacterial SSU rRNA
Rfam family: Bacterial small subunit ribosomal RNA
Source: RNAcentral